UUCCUACGGGAGGCAGCAGUGGGGAAUAUUGCACAAUGGGGGAAACCCUGAUGCAGCGACGCCGCGUGAGCGAAGAAGUAUUUCGGUAUGUAAAGCUCUAUCAGCAGGGAAGAAAAUGACGGUACCUGACUAAGAAGCCCCGGCUAAAUACGUGCCAGCAGCCGCGGUAAUACGUAUGGGGCAAGCGUUAUCCGGAUUUACUGGGUGUAAAGGGAGCGCAGGCGGCUUGGCAAGUCUGAUGUGAAAUUCCAGGGCUCAACCCUGGAACUGCGUUUGAAACUAUUCUUCUUGAGUGAUGGAGAGGC
Molecule: ribosomal RNA, 305 nt
Filed under: uncultured bacterium
Lineage: Bacteria
Description: bacterial SSU rRNA
Rfam family: Bacterial small subunit ribosomal RNA
Source: RNAcentral